This 1626-nucleotide long non-coding RNA is filed under the name Cricetulus griseus (Chinese hamster). RNAcentral's name for it is "lncRNA (ENSCGRG00015032531.1)". Lineage: Eukaryota; Metazoa; Chordata; Mammalia; Rodentia; Cricetidae. The record is from RNAcentral.
GCAAGAACAAGAAGGAAGUCAUUCCCUUUUUCCCUUCUCUCUUCCUCCUGGUCUCUGCUCUGGAGUUGCCAUGUGAUCCGCUGGCAAGAGAGGGCGCCAGUGGAAGCCAUGUUGUUGCCUUGUCCUGUUUGAGAUGCCACAUAUUUAAUCAGCUCUGACGGGUCCCAAGGAAACAAGUUGAACUUUCAUAGUGUCUCUGCCUUCAAGACUCUCUUACAAACUCCUGGCCUAACAUGUGAGUAAGGAAGGUGACCCGGGGUCAGCCCAGGGUUACAACGAAAGACGGGAAUCCACCCCAUUGAGAUCUCUGCUUCAGCCCUGCAGCAAUGACUCUCAGCUACUUCUCCAGCACCAUGUCUUCCUGCACACCACAUUGUCCCACUAUGAUGACAAUGGACUGAACCUCUGAACUGUGUGAAUGAACCACGGUACAAGCCUCUGCUGCUGUGGACUGAACUGAUGCAGUCAUCACACCUUCCUUGCUAUGGUGCACCAUUCUGCUGAACUAUGAGCCCAAAUAAAGCUCUUAUCCUAUAUGGCAUCCAAGGUUUCACAUACGCCUGGCAAUUGAACCAGCCCCAGCUCGUCUUCACAGCUUUGCUUCUGAUGUGUUCCCCUAUCCCAGACAACACCGAUGAUGACGGUAAAGAUAAAGAUGAUGAAGAAGAUAAAGAGGAUUAUGAUGAGGAAGAUACAAAUGAGGACAGCAGUGACAUAAAGGUGACGAUGCUGACAAAGGCAGUGAUGGUGAUGAUGAAGAUGGAGAAGAAAAUGGAGCUGAUCGUCAUGAUGACAAAGACAAUGAUGGGUGGCGAGAAUGGUGGGAGGCACUGAGGAGGGCGAAGAAAGCGUCUGUUCCAUGCCUGAGCAUCUAACACUCUCUUCAGAUUGCCGCUUUUAAUCCUUACCAUCCGUCCCCCCACCCCCACCCCCGCGCGCUUUUUCUGAGACAGUCUUGUUGUGUGGUCCUGGCUGGCCUGGAACUUGACAUGUAGCCCAGGCUAGCCUGGAACUUGACAUGUAGCCCAGGCUGGCCUUGAAUGUGUAGCAAUCCCCCUCCCUGAGUCCCCUUAGUGCUGGGAUGACAGACAUGUGCCACCACUCCUGGUUCUUCAAAAAAAAAAAUUUAGAUUGAUUUAUUUUAUUUUAUAUGCAUGAAUGUCUUAUCCGACUGUAAGUUUGUGUACCAUGCGUGUACCUGAUACCCAAGAGGUCAGAAGAGCACGUCAGCUCCUUGGAACCGGAGUAGUGAACCACCAGGUAGGGAGGGGCUGGGAAGCAGCAAGUGCUCUUAACCACUGAGCUAUUUCUCCAGCCCUGGCUAUUUUUUAUUUUUAAUUGAGGUAUAGUUUGGGCAUGGUGACCACACCUCUACCUGGCACUCAGAAGGUAGAGAGAAGAGAAUCAGGAGUUCAAGGCCAGACUGGGUAACAUGAGAACCUACGUCAAGAAAUCUAAAAGGAAAGAUACUAGAGCAUAAAAUUCACAAUACACCCAUUCUUUCUCAUUUUUCUUUUCUUUUUUUUGGGGGGGGUUUCGAGACAGGGUUUCUCUGUGUUUUUGGAGGCUGUCCUAGAACUAGUUCUUGUAGACCAGGCUGGUCUCAAACUCACAGAGAUCCACCUG